This 465-nucleotide ribosomal RNA is filed under the name uncultured bacterium. RNAcentral's name for it is "partial 16S ribosomal RNA". It matches the Rfam family "Bacterial small subunit ribosomal RNA", at positions 338 to 795 of the family's 1533-position model. The record is from RNAcentral.
UCUACGGGAGGCAGCAGUGGGGAAUAUUGCGCAAUGGGCGAAAGCCUGACGCAGCGACGCCGCGUGAGGGAUGAAGGUCUUCGGAUCGUAAACCUCUGUCAGCAGGGAAGAACGGUCACUGUGCUAAUCAGCAGUGAAUUGACGGUACCUGCAAAGGAAGCACCGGCUAACUCCGUGCCAGCAGCCGCGGUAAUACGGAGGGUGCGAGCGUUAAUCGGAAUUACUGGGCGUAAAGCGCUCGUAGGCGGUAUGUCAAGUCAAGUGUGAAAUCCCCGCGCUCAACGUGGGAACUGCCUUUGAAACUGGCAAACUGGAGUGUGUGAGAGGAUAGUGGAAUUGCAGGUGUAGGAGUGAAAUCCGUAGAUAUCUGGAGGAACAUCAGUGGCGAAGGCGACUAUCUGGCACAUAACUGACGCUGAGGAGCGAAAGCGUGGGUAGCAAACAGGAUUAGAUACCCCAGUAGUC